CAUAGCGACUAUCGUGGCAUAUCAAUAAGCGGAGGAAAAGAAACUAACAAGGAUUCCCUUAGUAACGGCGAGUGUAAGCGGGAAGAGCUCAAAUUUGAAAUCUUCAAGGUUUUACCUUGACGAAUUGUAGUUUAUAGAAGUGUUUUCUGUUAGUAGAGUGGCAGAAGUUCUUUGGAAUAGGACAUCAUAGAGGGUGAGAAUCCCGUAUUUGGUCAUUCCUUCCUAGCUUUGUGAUACACUUUCAACGAGUCGGAUUGUUUGGGAAUGCAGUCCAUAAAUGGGUGGUAAAUUUCAUCCUAAAGCUAAAUAUUGGCGAGAGACCGAUAGCGAACAAGUACCGUGAGGGAAAGAUGAAAAGAACUUUGAAAAGAGAGUUAAACAGUACGUGAAAUUGUCAAAAGGGAAGCGUUUGACACCAGUGUUGUUUUUCCGAAAAUCAAUUACGAAUGUUUUAUUUUUGAGAAGUUAUGACUUCAGUCGGCUUGCUUCUCUCUUUAUGAAACUUUCUUAAUGCACUUUUCGGUUAACAAGUCAACAUCAAUUUCUUUUAGUUGUAAAAGGGUAUGAGGAAGGUGGCCUUUCUUUUCGGAGAAAGUGUUUAUAGCCUUGUACCUCUGCAAUCGGAGAGAUUGAGGUCUGCAGCGUAGAUCCUUCGGGGUUAGAUACAUUUGUGCUAAGUUAUAGCUUUUCAUAGACAACUUGUUGACUAUGUUUAGUCUUGUAGCUUACUCGCUUAUGCUAUUUUACCUACGCUUAGGAUGUUGAUAGUCACAGCGUGUAC
Molecule: ribosomal RNA, 781 nt
Filed under: uncultured Neocallimastigales
Lineage: Eukaryota; Fungi; Neocallimastigomycota; Neocallimastigomycetes; Neocallimastigales
Description: partial large subunit ribosomal RNA
Rfam family: Eukaryotic large subunit ribosomal RNA
Source: RNAcentral